Non-coding RNA from Arachis ipaensis, 101 nucleotides. The record is from RefSeq and is a predicted model, not a curated record. Lineage: Eukaryota; Viridiplantae; Streptophyta; Magnoliopsida; Fabales; Fabaceae.
GUUGAUAGUUAAGAGCUAUUAGAUGAAAAUUUAGUUAAAUUAGUCAAAUUAUUUAAUGACUUUCAGUUAUUCACUUUACGUGAAAAACUGAACCGAGUUUA